This 360-nucleotide unclassified non-coding RNA is filed under the name Zea mays. RNAcentral's name for it is "misc RNA Zm00001eb210670". Lineage: Eukaryota; Viridiplantae; Streptophyta; Magnoliopsida; Poales; Poaceae. The record is from RNAcentral.
UUGCAAAACCCCACCUCCACCCGCAUACCAGGCGUCGAGAAGCGAAGCAAUAGCCGAAGGCAAAGCCGUGGCCGAGACGAACUUCAGAAGCGACGCCUACGGGAAGGGAGCGACGUCAGCGUGACGCCACUGUCGCCUGUCCGUGAUGGACCGGGCUUUCACCCAAGGAAGAUAGUGUUGGGGAUGCGAUGCCCUCAACAGGGGAAGCGGCGCCCAUGUGCGUCACCGUCGCCGAGACUUUCGCCCAAGAGCCCUCAGCACAGCGUCUGGCCGAAACCUCGAGACACAGCAAGCUGCCUCCGUCGUCGCCGCGGACCCAUCGUCCCGCACAAUGAUGAUUUUGGGGCGAUGCUGCGCUAG